GAGUGCCGAUGUCCUCUCGAGGCGCCGCGGCCACGGCUAUGGCGAAGGUCAGCCGCCUCGUCUCCCCGCGUCUCCGUAUCAUCCAUCGCGACUAUCUCACCCGCCGUGGUGGCCGCACGCACCAGCGGCACUCGGCUGUUGCGGUCGACUACACGCCGACGUACUUUGCAACGUACAAGAGCGACCCGGGGCAGUGCCCGCGCCUCAUCGAUGCCGAGGCAGUGCACGGCGAUGAACAGGCUUUCUGGUCCGCUCGCCGCGACUUCUACCGUGGCGGGGCAUCGCGGUCGUACUACCCCGCAUGGGACCGGCAGGCGCAGGCGCUUAUCAUGCUCACCCGCGAAGUCCCUCGCAUUCCGCAGGAGGCCGCGUUUCGCUUGUUUACAUUAGGCUUGAAGAUGAUGUUGCUGCCACGGUUGGUGGCCGGUGUGGAGCUGAUGCUGCCGUCAUGGGUGACAAUGAACGCUGAGUCGUUACUGAGUGAGGGCCUAGCGGGCAAAGUGGCGGAGGCGGAUGGCGACGGCAAGGCGACUGGCGCGGUAGCGGAUGCUGCUGCUCCGCCCUCGGCAUCUUCGGCGGGUGCCAGUGAAGACAGCGGCUCGGCGAAUGCGGAAAAGAAGUAGCGACGCGGGCAGGCAGAGGCGAUGCUGCAGGUUUUGGGGCGUUGCAGCGUUGCCGCUUCGUCUUCCCUCUCACGGCGUCGAUCCGCGCUUCCUCAGCCUUCCCCUCUCUGUUGCUUCGUGAUGGAUGAGGGGAGUGCUCUUAUAGGCGGCGAUGGCAGUGAUCCAAUCUGGUUCAACCUCUAUUCGAAGCGCUCGCGAACCUUUCUUCCUCUCGUGCGUGUGCGUGCUUGCGCCCGGGCCGCGUAUAUCGCAAGCUCUGCUUCGGACGUAGUUUCUGUUACAUCGCUGUCCGCGCGUGGAUGGGUCUGACGAUGAUCGUGAUUCUGUUGGUCUGCGCUCACAGUAGCUGGCGAGGGCGCGAAGGACAAUGAACACAGAAAAUCUAGUGCCACGACAUGGGCGACACGCUCUCUCGGGAGUGGGGCGAAGGUGCGGCUUGCGCGUGUGUGGUGGAUGCGUCUUUGCUUGCCUCUUUAAAGUUUGUUCUCUGUUGCCUGCACCGUUGCUUAUCCACCUCCCUUGGCGCGCCCCGUAGUGGUGCAGGGGCUCUGUAGAGGCGGUAGCGCUCCUCCCCGGGAGCGAGGGGGCGGAGGGGUGAUGGUGACGGUGGUGAUGGAGGGAGGGACAGCCUGAGACGACUGCGCGCCUGCCAGUCUGUGCGUGUCGCUGAGGACGUUUCGUGACAGUGCCAUCCGUAUAGGCCGCGCCAAUCUGUUCCCUCGCCACCACCACCACCACCCCUCCUCCCCUCUUCCCCUUCCAUAUGCGUUGUAGUGGUGCUGUAGAGUUUCCACUCCCCUCCCUC
This 1428-nucleotide unclassified non-coding RNA is filed under the name Leishmania donovani. Its description in RNAcentral is "gene:LdHU3.08.1200(CDS-product:hypothetical_prote in_conserved)". Lineage: Eukaryota; Euglenozoa; Kinetoplastea; Trypanosomatida; Trypanosomatidae. The record is from RNAcentral.